CGGGACACGUGGUAUCCUGUCUGAAUAUGGGGGGACCAUCCUCCAAGGCUAAAUACUCCUGACUGACCGAUAGUGAACCAGUACCGUGAGGGAAAGGCGAAAAGAACCCCGGCGAGGGGAGUGAAAAAGAACCUGAAACCGUGUACGUACAAGCAGUGGGAGCACCCUUUGGGGUGUGACUGCGUACCUUUUGUAUAAUGGGUCAGCGACUUAUAUUCUGUAGCAAGGUUAACCGAAUAGGGGAGCCGGAGGGAAACCGAGUCUUAAUUGGGCGUUAAGUUGCAGGGUAUAGACCCGAAACCCGGUGAUCUAGCCAUGGGCAGGUUGAAGGUUGGGUAACACUAACUGGAGGACCGAACCGACUAAUGUUGAAAAAUUAGCGGAUGACCUGUGGCUGGGGGUGAAAGGCCAAUCAAACCGGGAGAUAGCUGGUUCUCCCCGAAAGCUAUUUAGGUAGCGCCUCGUGAAUUCAUCUCCGGGGGUAGAGCACUGUUUCGGCUAGGGGGCCAUCCCGGCUUACCAACCCGAUGCAAACUGCGAAUACCGGAGAAUGUUAUCACGGGAGACACACGGCGGGUGCUAACGUCCGUCGUGAAGAGGGAAACAACCCAGACCGCCAGCUAAGGUCCCAAAGUCAUGGUUAAGUGGGAAACGAUGUGGGAAGGCCCAGACAGCCAGGAUGUUGGCUUAGAAGCAGCCAUCAUUUAAAGAAAGCGUAAUAGCUCACUGGUCGAGUCGGCCUGCGCGGAAGAUGUAACGGGGCUAAACCAUGCACCGAAGCUGCGGCAGCGACGCUGAUGCGUUGUUGGGUAGGGGAGCGUUCUGUAAGCCUGCGAAGGUGGCCUGUGAGGGUUGCUGGAGGUAUCAGAAGUGCGAAUGCUGACAUAAGUAACGAUAAAGCGGGUGAAAAGCCCGCUCGCCGGAAGACCAAGGGUUCCUGUCCAACGUUAAUCGGGGCAGGGUGAGUCGACCCCUAAGGCGAGGCCGAAAGGCGUAGUCGAUGGGAAACGGGUUAAUAUUCCCGUACUUGGUGUUACUGCGAAGGGGGGACGGAGAAGGCUAUGUUGGCCGGGCGACGGUU
Molecule: ribosomal RNA, 1081 nt
Filed under: Salmonella enterica subsp. enterica serovar Reading
Lineage: Bacteria; Pseudomonadati; Pseudomonadota; Gammaproteobacteria; Enterobacterales; Enterobacteriaceae
Description: partial 23S ribosomal RNA
Rfam family: Bacterial large subunit ribosomal RNA
Source: RNAcentral